Molecule: ribosomal RNA, 444 nt
Filed under: uncultured bacterium
Lineage: Bacteria
Description: SSU rRNA
Rfam family: Bacterial small subunit ribosomal RNA
Source: RNAcentral
AGAACGAACGCUGGCGGCAUGCCUAACACAUGCAAGUCGAACGAGACCUUCGGGUCUAGUGGCGCACGGGUGCGUAACGCGUGGGAAUCUGCCCUUAGGUACGGAACAACUCAGGGAAACUUGUGCUAAUACCGUAUGAUGUCGAGAGACCAAAGAUUUAUCGCCUAGGGAUGAGCCCGCGUAGGAUUAGCUAGUUGGUGGGGUAAAGGCCUACCAAGGCUACGAUCCUUAGCUGGUCUGAGAGGAUGAUCAGCCACACUGGGACUGAGACACGGCCCAGACUCCUACGGGAGGCAGCAGUGGGGAAUAUUGGACAAUGGGCGAAAGCCUGAUCCAGCAAUGCCGCGUGAGUGAAGAAGGCCUUCGGGUUGUAAAGCUCUUUACCCGGGAAGAUAAUGACUGUACCGGGAGAAUAAGCCCGGCUAACUCCGCGCCAGCAGCCGC